GGCAGUGCUUGCUGGGCUGAGCACAGCCUUGUGGCAAAACCCUCCUGGAGGUGGAGCCCUGCUAGAAAUAGCCUCACCCUGCCCAAGUGCAUCCUGGAAAUACAAGUGUGGAAAAUACGUCUUUUUGGGGGGGAGGGAUGCUGCCCUGAAGACAGAUUUACCCCAUCAAUGGACCUCCUGGGGGCCUGCAGUUCAGGAAAGGUUCUCCCUCCAACCCCUCCAAGUUCCUCGCAGGAAUGCCAGCACAGCCAAAGCUCUGUAUUUCUCAUGAAGAAACUUGGAAAAACAUCAGCACAGACAACAAAAGUCCCUAAUUCCAUGUGAAAAAAAUAUGCCAUCAUCGCUGGCUGCAGUCUAGAAACAGCCCUGCAGAGAAGACACAGGAACAAUUUCUCAUCUUAUUUCAUCACUUCACUGGCAAGAGAAACCUUCCCUUUGGUUAAGGCUGCAGAACAAGCUUCCUCCUACAUCCUUGUGAGAAGGGGUAAUGACUACACCAUGUAGCACGGAGCAGAGGCAACGACUUAGUGUCCCAUGUCAAGGUCAAUCUUCUUCUUGACUCCUAAAGGAAAAUAAGCAAGCCCUCAUGGAUCUGCCAGCCCACAAGCAGCAGCACAUUCCAGCAGUGGAGGAACAGAGUGGGCCGGAGGCAACAGCUGAAAAAUAAUUAAGAUUUGUCUGUAUAUUGCCCUGCUCACCACUUUUGACCAUCCAGGUCAAAAGCUGCAUAACAUUUAAUUCUUUUAAAGCUGGAAAGAAACUUUCCCAGCUUUUGAUCAGUGGUGCGUGAUGAAUCGCAAAGCUACCCAUGUCUUGCAGAGUGGAAAGGAAAAACACCUGACAGUUCAAUUUAAUUUAGGGUUACACUGAUUUCUCCUCCAACCCUUUAUGGGACAGUGUCAGCACUUAUCAGAUUAAAGUAUGUUAAUAUGUAUCCAGAUUAAAUAUUUCUUUUGGAGCUGCAGCCCUUGUGCUUUUACACCCUGCUUAUAAACAAUGACUUCAUGUAAAUCCUUCUGAAGGUGCUGCAAAUUCUUAUUUCAAAGAGUCAGGAUACCUCUGCUCAGGGACUCUGCCUGAAAUGUGAUCAGCCCCAGGGCAGUGGGCAAUACAUUGGUACUCCUCAUUGGAUCCGUCCCCUCUUCUGCACGGCUGGAGGCAGCACGCUGAGCCCAUGGACCCCUCCAGGACAUCAAGACCACCAUAGAGCCACCCAGCUCAGGAAAUUCUCCUGCAUGAUGGCAGAACUCUGCUGCCUGUGUUAAUGCAAGCCUAAGGCAGAUGACUGCCCCCACUAUGCUCUAUCCUGUGGUCAAACUGGACAAACUACUGCCUGGAAAUCAUAGCAAUAACGUUUAUAUGUAUUCUAGUAACAAUUGGGGAUAAAAACUGGGGAAACUCUUGGUCUUUAUUUAAUAUUCCUUCUUCAAUACACAAGUCAUUACAACAGUGAUCAGGUACCUUUAGGACAACACAAAACAUACCUAAAGAAAAAAAAACUCUAACAAAAUACCUGAUAAAUCAUCCUCUGCUGUUCUUGAAUGAAGAGCUGAAAAUCAAUUUCUACGGUUCAGAAGCAAGCAGGGAAGGAAAACAUCUUUCCAGAUAUUGGAUUUAUCACUUUGGUAGUAUAUCAAUUUAAUCAUGUCAUUCUCUUCACAGUUCACAUUGGUUUAUACAGGUGAAAAUUAGAGUUGAAUCUCCCAUACAUAAAUGUGAUCCUUCCUUUCUAUCCAGAUAGGCAUGGCUGAGCCAGGGCUGGAACUGAUAUAUGCCUGUCGCCAGAAAAAAGAAGUCUAACUCUGAAAUCCUCUAUCCAGUUGCCUUAUUUAUUAACUACCCAGUACGUUGUAUUAUAGGCUACAUCAAUUUAAUGCAAAAUCAGUUGUUUCAUGUUCCUAUGUUAUUUGAGCAGUAUUAAACUGCUUUUCCUGAAAUAGUGCCGAAAUGGGACGCUAGUUUGAGGGUUUCCUUAUGAACGACCCUUGUGAUUCUGCAGCACUCCUAUGAUGGCAGCUCCAUGUAGAUGGCGAUGCCAUUGGUCUUGUGUUCCAGGAAAACAGUCUUCUACAACCAUCCAAACCUGUCCGUUGAGGGGAAUAGUUAUGUUUUUCCCAGGCUGGGAAAUGCUUUAGUAGUGGCGUUUAUCAGUCUUCUGUUUUAAGCUUCAGAUCUGUGAAGAAGCUUCUGUGUGGGUCAGAGCAAGCCAUGAUUUACUCUAAGCUGUCAUCAGACAGCACUACCCAUUCUUUAUGUUUAGCUAUGAAUGUGGCAUUAACUAGAUCACACAAUAGGACAGAAUCAUGCAUCACACAUUGGAUGCAUUUUAGAGUCCGCUGAUGAAUAGGUGCGGCCGUCUUUAUAAUUUGUGCACCAAGAAAGAAUAGCAAUAAAAAUGGAAAUUAAAGGGAUGAAUACAGCAAAUAGAUUAUGCUAUCAUUCCUGAGCAGAGUGGAGAAGUCACUGUUGCCCAUUUAUGUUUUGACAGUUCAUGCAUCAGAUGAGAUUUGCAAAGAGGGGUACCACUGCUUGGGGAAAGUGAAGAGCAGAAUAGUCGCUGUUAAGUGUGAAUUUAACAGCGCAUUUAUUAUUUGGGCAACUUGCUUUUUGAUAAGCUAGCAAGAAAGCUUUCUGCACAAAGAAAAAAAAUUAAAUUCAGAUAGUGUAGGGAAAAUGUCACAGUCAGUCAUGUUAUCAGUCAUGUUAUCUGUCAGUUUAUCUCUCUCUUACAGUGGUCCAAACCAGAAACCUCAAAGGAAAAUUCAAGAGCCAUCAAAUAGUGUCUUCUAAUUUUAACCAGAGUUAGACAAAGGUUGGCAUAGCUUUCUCAGUAGGUCCUAUUGUCUCCAAGAGUUGAGCACUUUAAGCCCAUACAUAUGACAUCCUGUAAGAUUUGAACAUGCCCCGGGCAGUUCCGGAGCACAGGAACAGGAUUCUUGAAGUCUGAACAACUGUGUAACUGAAUCUGGCCCAUCGCAAUUCUCCCCAUGCAAGUCCCCUGUGUGAUCUGGCAGCUGGGUCAGGGGCUCUCCCCAUGCCAUUUCAGGAGCAUGGACAGCUUGCUCACACAGAAACAAACUACUGGGUACCAGCCAUUCAAAAUGCCCCAAAGCCUUCUGUAUCACGUAUACAUUCAUACAAUACAGGCUGUCACACACACAGUCUCAGUUUACCUCCCAGAACCAACUUCAUAUACCCGCAACAUGAUCAGUCCUUUUGGAAAUCUUGCUCAGUUUUACCUUCUGCAAUGCCCUAUGGCACAAACUAAGCCUGAUUAGGCACUGUGAGGAAAACAAGAACUUAUGGUUUAUUACUUAACUCCCUUUAAUUUUAUUGAAUAUAGCUCUAUUGUAAGAAGUAGGGAAAAAGCAUCUUCUGUCCUCCUUUGCCUGGAUGAGCGUUUCUUACAUUUUAAUCCUAUCUAUUGUAACUCCUUUCCUUUCUAAGGAUAUGGUCCUCAGAAUUUGAAUAACUUUGAUACAAGAUC
Cuculus canorus (common cuckoo) is the source of this 3487-nucleotide long non-coding RNA. RefSeq lists it as uncharacterized. The transcript is spliced from 3 exons. The record is from RefSeq and is a predicted model, not a curated record. Lineage: Eukaryota; Metazoa; Chordata; Aves; Cuculiformes; Cuculidae.